AGCGCAGGCGGUUUCUUAAGUCUGAUGUGAAAGCCUUCGGCUCAACCGAAGAAGUGCAUCGGAAACUGGGAGACUUGAGUGCAGAAGAGGACAGUGGAACUCCAUGUGUAGCGGUGAAAUGCGUAGAUAUUGGAAAGAACACCGAUGGCGAAGGCACUCUACUGGGCUAUUACUGACGCUGAGGUACGAAAGCAUGGGGAGCAAACA
Molecule: ribosomal RNA, 207 nt
Filed under: uncultured bacterium
Lineage: Bacteria
Description: partial 16S ribosomal RNA
Rfam family: Bacterial small subunit ribosomal RNA
Source: RNAcentral